Molecule: long non-coding RNA, 547 nt
Organism: Cynoglossus semilaevis (tongue sole)
Lineage: Eukaryota; Metazoa; Chordata; Actinopteri; Pleuronectiformes; Cynoglossidae
Exons: 3
Source: RefSeq, a predicted model, not a curated record
UGUCGAUGUGAUAAAUCUUGUUAUUGUUUCCUGACUGCUGCCAAUCAAAGUUUUGGGCUCUGCCCCCUUUUGGAGAGACUUUAAAAUGCAGCGUGCCUGCCUGUUGUUGACGACUGAUCUGCUCCGAGGCUGACGGGUCACAAGGUCAAAUCAUGCCAGGGAAACCGGGUCGAAACAGGUCCAAGAGUCCUAAGGGGAAGUGCCACAGCCCCAAAGGGCAAAAACACUGUCAUGGAGGCAAAGAGAAGAAGAAGCGUCGACACAAGAAGGGGCAUCAACACAAGAGCUGCCACAAACAGUCGGGCAAAAAGUCCCACGGGGACUCCAGCAGCUCCUGCUCCUCCUCCUCCUCCUCCUCCAGCAGUGACUCCGACUAGAUGAACAUUUCUGGAUGAAGAUUUAAAUGUAUUCUACAAAGUUGUGGGGGUUUUUUUAUAUAACAUUUUUAUGAACUUUUUUUGUUUUUACUGAACUUUGUUUUCACAUGUGGUUUAAGGAAUUUUUUAUGGUUUUAUGGUGGAAAAACAAUAAUAAUAAUAACAAUAAU